RNAcentral lists this ribosomal RNA (468 nucleotides) under uncultured bacterium. RNAcentral describes it as "partial 16S ribosomal RNA". It matches the Rfam family "Bacterial small subunit ribosomal RNA", at positions 28 to 507 of the family's 1533-position model. The record is from RNAcentral.
GACGAACGCUGGCGGCGUGCUUAACACAUGCAAGUCGAACGGAAAGGCCCUGCUUUUGUGGGGUGCUCGAGUGGCGAACGGGUGAGUAACACGUGAGUAACCUGCCCUUGACUUUGGGAUAACUUCAUGAAACUGGGGCUAAUACCGGAUAGGAGCUCCUGCUGCAUGGUUGGGGUUGGAAAGUUUCGGCGGUUGGGGAUGGACUCGCGGCUUAUCAGCUUUUUGGUGGGGUAGUGGCUUACCAAGGCUUUGACGGGUAGCCGGCCUGAGAGGGUGACAGGCCACAUUGGGACUGAGAUACGGCACAGACUCCUACGGGAGGCAGCAGUGGGGAAUAUUGCACAAUGGGCGGAAGCAUGAUGCAGCAACGCCGCGUGCGGGAUGACGGCCUUCGGGUUGUAAACCGCUUUCGCCUGUGACGAAGCGUGAGUGACGGUAAUGGGUAAAGAAGCACCGGCUAACUACGUG